AUUUUCCCCACAACCCUAGCCAUCCCCUCAAUAUCGAAAUUCCUACUUGCCUCCUCACCCAAUAAUAGUGAGGGUAGGCACAAUUAAUCCAAAACCAGUAAAUAAUUAUUUACCUAAUUUAGGAGAAUGGACAAUGGCAAGUCAAUUUUUUAUUUAUUUUUUUAACUCUAUGCUCGCAGGCUACUAGCGCUGCCAGCGGGCAAACAGUUCAGACAUUUAAAC
Non-coding RNA from Pelobates cultripes (western spadefoot toad), 222 nucleotides. NCBI's taxonomy places the organism in Eukaryota, Metazoa, Chordata, Amphibia, Anura, Pelobatidae. The record is from the annotation of a GenBank genome assembly.